This 3443-nucleotide long non-coding RNA is filed under the name Arabidopsis lyrata. RNAcentral describes it as "long non-coding RNA (ALYR_LNC000141)". The record is from RNAcentral. Lineage: Eukaryota; Viridiplantae; Streptophyta; Magnoliopsida; Brassicales; Brassicaceae.
CCGUGUUUGAUUUCAUUGCCUUGGGACCAUUUUAGCACUAUUCGAUAACUUGGAAGUUCAGGAAAAUCCAUCACUUGAUCACUCUAUAGUAGUCCCUAUCUCUUUGAAAUUUGGAUGAAUUGAGCAUAAUCUUAUAUACUUGAACUUAUUCUGGACUUAAUUUAUCUCACUUAGGGGCUUGAGAAUCAUGUAAUGGAUCAUACAUUCAGAGUUUUGUUCGCAUCAUUUUUACCACUCUUUGCUAACUCUGAAUGGCUAGACUCAUUUUUAGUCUAGUACCGCACCUGUUUCCCCACCCAUUGUUUGAAACCUCAUGCAUUCUUAUAUGAUCAUCAUGAUAUGCAUCCAUGUGCGAAAACUACGGAGUAUACGGACCGACAUAGCUUUCCUUUUGUUAGGAUAGUGAGUUGUAGUUUACUGGUUGUCGAUAUGUGAUGAGAUUGAGCCAUUGUGGUUUAGAGGCUAUAUUCAUGGGCAUAUGCUGCUGUUUGCGAUUUCUCUUGAUGCAGAUUUUUGUGAGACACCGGUUCCACUCCCCCGUUUCUUUUCCAAAAAAAAAAAAAAAAAAAAAAAAAAACGAAAAUAAAAAGAAAGAGCGGGAAAGGAGAGUGAUUGGAACCGGAAAUGUCAGGUUAUUUUUAGUCAUAUUCAUAAGCAUCAAUGGUACUUAAUGUUUCGAUCGGGGUCAUGUUGGUUAGUUUGAUCCGAGCUUAAGGGAAGCUACGCACCCUCCCGAGUUAGGCNNNNNNNNNNNNNNNNNNNNNNNNNNNNNNNNNNNNNNNNNNNNNNNNNNNNNNNNNNNNNNNNNNNNNNNNNNNNNNNNNNNNNNNNNNNNNNNNNNNNGCAUAAUGACAUGCAUCCGUUUACACUGUUUGAGAACCCGAAACACUUAGAGCCACCAAAUAUUAGCCUUUUUACCAAGCCUAUAACGUGUUCGAUACCCCCUUUGUGAGAAUACACGCCACUGCUAAUAAAUGUUAAAAGGUUAAGUUAUCUGAUUCUGAAAGUUCUUUUAGAUCUCGGGACUUGAUUUUGUUGCUACGGUUAUGGCGAAGUACAGUCUAGUACGGUUUGAUGAGUUUUGUGAUAGUGGUUUGCAGGCAAUUGAUAAGAUCAUGAUCCCGAAGAAAAUGUGAGUUCUCGUGUUUUCAAACCUCUUCACUUGAUAAGGAUUUCUGCUUUCCUUGAGGACAAGCAAAGAUCUAAGUCGGGGGGAGUUGAUAUGUUGUGUUUUUAUCGGUUUUGAGUCUUUGUUUUCUUUCCUACAUCAUAUGUUUUAUAGAGUCAAAGUGUGUUUUUAGAGUCUUUUAGUCUUUUAUCGAGUCUUUACAGGUUUUAGGUUGCUUUGGAGGAAAACGAGCUGUUUUGGGAUAUAAACACACAUUUGGAGAUGCAGUUUCGUUUAGAAGUGUCAGACGUUUAGCCUCAGAUGGAAGACUUCCCACCGUUAGAUCUUUCUGAAUUUUUGACACAGGCUAGAUGAAGAUGUUAGCUUGAUUUUCCAAGUGGUUUGACGGAACUCGAACGGUGCAUCCAAGAGUUACACCCGAAUUAGUGAAGACAGGUCAAUCUGGCGAGUAUUUGAAGCAGGUGUAGAGCUUGACCCAGGAGCUUCUGGAUCGAUCGAUCCCAGGAGGGGAUCGAUCGAUCCAACUCUCGUCUGUCAAAGAAAAAUCAUCCGCCAGCUCGGGAUCGAUCGAUCCCCACCUGGGAUCGAUCGAUCCCUUCCCCAGACGUAUUUUUGGCCCAGAUUUGACCCGAGUCACUCCAGAUCCGACCCGGCUCGUCUCCUAUUGUUUUAAAACCCUAAUCUCGACUUUUGAGACAUUAUCCUUGAUAUUUUUCACUUCUAAACUUGGUUCUUUGGUUUGAAAACAAUUUUGGGCAAAGGAAUCCAUCCUCUUGACACUUGGAGAAGAUUUCUAAACCCUAUUCCUUUUCUAUUUUAUUGAAUCAUGUUUUCUUUCAUAUCUAUUUGCCUUUUCUCUUUCUCUAUGUGUGAGUAGUUCUCCAAUUGGGUUUUAGGGUUCCAAUUAGGAGAUUCAAUGGAUUAAUGGAUUGAUUGUGUUAGGAAUUCUCAUUCUCUAGGUUCUUUGAUUCACAUGUUCUUAAUGCUAGAAUAGGAUUGAUCACCCUGUUGUAGAUUCUAGGUUUUUCUAUGCAUCAAAAGUGUUCGAUAGAAUGCCUGAAAGAAUGUGGAUUGAGCAAUGUAUUUCUAGCCAACGAAAGUUGACGUUAGGACGCAUUGUGAACUUAAUGAACUUGUUUGGUAAUGCGAAUUUGACUAGGAAAUUGCAUGCGAAAGUUUAGUAAUCGAAUAGUCAAAUUUAGUGAUUAAUGUCUUGAAAGAGAAUUGGUUUAAAUGUGUUCAUGUUCGAGAACGGUUCUUAAUUACUGAAUUCCUGGUUUCAUGUUUCCAUUAUUCGUUGAUCUCUGAAAUACCCUAACGCCCAAUGUCUUUAAAUCUUGAAGUUAAAUCGUCUAUUUUAAUUGCAUUUUUAUUUACAAUUCCGAAAACCCAAAACAAAACAACCUUUUAGCUUUAGCUAAGAACGAGUCUCGGAAAUCUUUAGUGUACCAUUGGUUCUUGUGGAUCGACCCCGUAUAUACUACCUUGCGGUUAAGUGUAUCGGGUAAUUACUCGAGCAAUCAAGUUAGGCUGCCACUUGUCUACUAAUCUAGUUUGCAUUUUUGAUGUUUCCUUGAGUCAUUUUGAUGUUUUUCUUUUUGAGUCAUCGAGUCUAUUUUAUCGAGUCAAAAUUGUGUCUUUUAUUGAGUCAAAAUGUUGUCUGAGAUCUAUGAUCUUUUCUUAAGGAAUUGCACCGUGUUUGAUUUCAUUGCCUUGGGACCAUUUUAGCACUAUUCGAUAACUUGGAAGUUCAGGAAAAUCCAUCACUUGAUCACUCUAUAGUAGUCCCUAUCUCUUUGAAAUUUGGAUGAAUUGAGCUUAAUCUUAUAUACUUGAACUUAAUCUGGACUUAAUUUAUCUCACUUAGGGGCUUGAGAAUCAUGUAAUGGAUCAUACAUUCAGAGUUUUGUUCGCAUCAUUUUUACCUCUCUUUGCUAACUCUGAAUGGCUAGACUCAUUUUUAGUCUAGUACCGCACCUGUUUCCCCACCCAUUGUUUGAAACCUCAUGCAUUCUUAUAUGAUCAUCAUGAUAUGCAUCCAUGUGCGAAAACUACGGAGUAUACGGACCGACAUAGCUUUCCUUUUGUUAGGAUAGUGAGUUGUAGUUUACUGGUUGUCGAUAUGUGAUGAGAUUGAGCCAUUGUGGUUUAGAGACUAUAUUCAUGGGCAUAUGCUGAUGUUUGCGAUUUCUCUUGAUGCAGAUUUUUGUGAGACACCGGUUCCACUCCCCCGUUUCUAUUCAAAAAAAAAAAAAAAAAAAAAACGAAAAAAAAAGAAAGAGCGGGAAAGGAGAGUGAUUGGAACCGGAAAUGU